UAGCAGUGGGGAAUAUUGCACAAUGGGCGAAAGCCUGAUGCAGCGACGCCGCGUGAGGGAUGACGGCCUUCGGGUUGUAAACCUCUUUCAGCAGGGAAGAAGCGCAAGUGACGGUACCUGCAGAAGAAGCGCCGGCUAACUACGUGCCAGCAGCCGCGGUAAUACGUAGGGCGCAAGCGUUGUCCGGAAUUAUUGGGCGUAAAGAGCUCGUAGGCGGUCUGUCGCGUCUGGUGUGAAAUCCCGAGGCUCAACCUCGGGCUUGCAUCGGGUACGGGCAGACUAGAGUGCGGUAGGGGAGACUGGAAUUCCUGGUGUAGCGGUGGAAUGCGCAGAUAUCAGGAGGAACACCGAUGGCGAAGGCAGGUCUCUGGGCCGCAACUGACGCUGAGGAGCGAAAGCAUGGGGAGCGAACAGGAUUAGAUACCCUGGUAGUCCAUGCCGUAAACGUUGGGCACUAGGUGUGGGGCUCAUUCCACGAGUUCCGUGCCGCAGCUAACGCAUUAAGUGCCCCGCCUGGGGAGUACGGCCGCAAGGCUAAAACUCAAAUGAAUUGACGGA
This 558-nucleotide ribosomal RNA is filed under the name uncultured bacterium. RNAcentral's name for it is "bacterial SSU rRNA". It matches the Rfam family "Bacterial small subunit ribosomal RNA", at positions 349 to 917 of the family's 1533-position model. The record is from RNAcentral.